RNAcentral lists this ribosomal RNA (776 nucleotides) under uncultured Neocallimastigales. RNAcentral's name for it is "partial large subunit ribosomal RNA". It matches the Rfam family "Eukaryotic large subunit ribosomal RNA", at positions 24 to 627 of the family's 3401-position model. The record is from RNAcentral. Lineage: Eukaryota; Fungi; Neocallimastigomycota; Neocallimastigomycetes; Neocallimastigales.
UAUCUCUGUAGAGUCUGCAUAUCAAUAAGCGGAGGAAAAGAAACUAACUAGGAUUCCCUCAGUAACGGCGAGUGAAGCGGGAAGAGCUCAAAUUUGAAAUCUUCAAGGUUCUACCUUGACGAAUUGUAGUUUAAAGAAGUGUUUUCUGUUGGUAGUUUUGGUAAAAGUUCUUUGGAAUAGGACAUCAUAGAGGGUGAGAAUCCCGUAUUUGACCAUUACUUUCCAGCGUUGUGAUACACUUUCAAAGAGUCGGAUUGUUUGGGAAUGCAGUCCAAAAUGGGUGGUAAAUUUCAUCUAAAGCUAAAUAUUGGCGAGAGACCGAUAGCGAACAAGUACCGUGAGGGAAAGAUGAAAAGAACUUUGAAAAGAGAGUUAAACAGUACGUGAAAUUGUCAAAAGGGAAGCGUUUGACACCAGUGUUGUUUUCUCGAAAAUCAAUUAAAAAAGGCAGGAUUUUGUGUUGUAUUGACUUUAUCAGCUUUCUGCACUCUUUUCUUGUCUUUUUUAAUGCACUUUUCGUUUAACAAGUCAACAUCAAUUUCUUUUGUUGUAAAAGGGUCAUUGGAAGGUGGCUUUCUUUUCGGAGAAAGUGUUUAUAGCCUUUGGCCUCUGCAAUCGGAGAGAUUGAGGUCUGCAGCGUAGAUCCUUCGGGGUUAGAUACAUUUGUGCUAAGUUAUAGCCUUUCAUAGACAACUUGUUGACUAUGAUCAGUCAUGUAGCUUACUCGCUUAUGCUAUUUUACCUACGCUUAGGAUGUUGACGAUCAGCUGAGCGCG